CUUAACGAAUUCGAGAAACAACAAGAUCCCCAAAUUUCCCCAUUUUCUUUUCUUAUCCCGCUCCAAAAACCAGAUCGAAAGAUGAACUCCACCUUCAUCAUCUUCUACAUAUUUUAACCUUUUACAUAUGUCUGUCUCUCGGCCUCCCCUUGCAAAACCAGAGAGCAAAACGAAAACUUUUACCUAAAUACCACCAUGAACCAGAGAAAGAAAGAUGAACCCAGCCCUCAAAAGUUCAUCUAAAACCUAAACACCAACACCACAUCAUCCCAACCUUCACCACCUCGAGAAACCCCCACCACCUUCUUCUUCUUCCUCCAUCUUCUUCUUCUUCACAGUCAAAAGUUGUGAUUCACCAGCAACGAGAUGGAAGUUCUAACAUAAAAAAAAAGUGAAGUAAAUCAUCUUCCUGGUGCAGAGGUUAAAAUCAAAACAACCAAUUUCGAUUGAGAACAAGAAUGGGUUUGUGGCUGUGUAGGUUUGUUGAGCUUAAUGGUGCAGGAAAUCAAGGUGAUGUUAUUUGAUGUUCUUUUAAACUGGAAUUGGAAUUGAGUAAUAAAUGUUAUGAAAUCCCUAGCUUACUUUUAGUUUUUGCUUAGUUUACUCGGAUUGGAGUCACUGAUUCAAACCAAUCAACAAGCAGAUGGUAUUCAUCCAUAACCACUGGGAGAAGCAAUUCUUCUCCCUCAACACCGAAGUUUAAUUUGAGAAAUGGUUUUUAUUUGAGUAACCGUUAUGAAUCAACCUCUGCAGCAGCAUCAGAUGCCACAGAUUCACCACCUGCUGAAAAGUUUGAGUACCAAGCAGAAGUUAGUCGUUUGAUGGAUCUCAUUGUUCACAGCUUGUAACAAAGAAGUAUUUUUCCAAGUGCUCAUCAGGUAUAUCAUCCAACAAUUUGUUUCGCGAAUAUGAAUUCAAGGUGCGUUGCUUGGCUCUGGCCCUACAAGUUACUGGCGUUGCUUGUCAUUAUGCCUUUCAAUCUCUCUCCUCAUUGCACCGUUUGCUAAAUCUACCAAGAUAAGUGGUUCUAAUAAGUAAUGAACAAAAUUCUUCACCUGUAAAAAAUGCAUUUUCAUCUCAAUACUACGUGGUGUUGGGACAUGACUUCUCAGUGGUAUUAAAAUUUCUUUAUGUCUAGGCGUCGAGGUUUUUUUGUCUUCUUUAAAUUAUGAGGGGACUAGGCAGUAGGAGCUAAAAUUAUGGAAUGUUUUAUUAUUUAUUAAGAAUCUGAAACCGUUUCCUUGAUUUUGUUGCAGGGAGGGUUCAUUGACCGGGAUGCUAGGGAUGCUGCUCAAGCUGAAGCUCUUGGAUUAGUUGAAGCGCCGCAAAGGAUUAAGAAGAAAAACUAUAGGAAUAUGAUUAUUGGAGGCGAUGGUACUAAUCUGCCAUAUCUGCUAUUUACAUUUUGAAUGUAGCCAAUAGUUUUAAGUAUCUUUAGCUUUUUACAAUUUGUGUGUUUCACUGUCAGUUUUAGUUUAAGCAUCUUUAACUUUAUAUCAUGGCAGGUUUAGUUUAAGUAUCUUUAGCAUUCAAAACCGUUGCAGUAAUGUUGGUAACUCAAGAACUGAGCACCAUGUGAAUUCACUUGUUUUUAACUGUUUAGCAUUCUUAUUCCAUCACAACAUGGUUCUCUACACCUAGUGUACAUCCAAUUAUAAUAUUAGCAUCCUCGAUCAAUUUUUUUUUAAUAAUAUUAGCAUCACAUAACUGACAGGUUUCCUGUCAAAUUCAUUA
Molecule: long non-coding RNA, 1734 nt
Organism: Papaver somniferum (opium poppy)
Lineage: Eukaryota; Viridiplantae; Streptophyta; Magnoliopsida; Ranunculales; Papaveraceae
Exons: 3
Source: RefSeq, a predicted model, not a curated record